RNAcentral lists this transfer RNA (71 nucleotides) under Loxodonta africana (African savanna elephant). It matches the Rfam family "tRNA". From Rfam's summary of the family: Transfer RNA (tRNA) molecules are approximately 80 nucleotides in length. Their secondary structure includes four short double-helical elements and three loops (D, anti-codon, and T loops). The record is from Rfam by way of RNAcentral. Lineage: Eukaryota; Metazoa; Chordata; Mammalia; Proboscidea; Elephantidae.
GCGUUGGUGGUUUGGUGGUAGAAUUCUCUCCUUCCAUGCAAGAGACAUAGGUUCCAUUCCUGGCCAAUGCA